Molecule: ribosomal RNA, 602 nt
Filed under: uncultured marine eukaryote
Lineage: Eukaryota
Description: SSU rRNA
Rfam family: Eukaryotic small subunit ribosomal RNA
Source: RNAcentral
UUGCAGUUAAAAAGCUCGUAGUUGGAUUUCGGAACCGGCCGAUUGGUCCGUCCUCUGGAUCGUGUACUGAUCGGUCUGUUCUUCUUCGCGAAGACCGCGUGUGCUCUUAACUGAGUGGGCGUGGGAUUCGCGACGUUUACUUUGAAAAAAUUAGAGUGUUCAAAGCAGGCAGUCGCUUGAAUAUCUCAGCAUGGAAUAAUAGAAUAGGACUUUGGUCUUAUUUUGUUGGUUUCCGAGACCGAAGUAAUGAUUAAUAGGGACAGUUGGGGGCAUUCGUAUUUCAUUGUCAGAGGUGAAAUUCUUGGAUUUAUGAAAGACGAACUUCUGCGAAAGCAUUUGCCAAGGAUGUUUUCAUUAAUCAAGAACGAAAGUUGGAGGCUCGAAGACGAUCAGAUACCGUCCUAGUUCCAACCAUAAACGAUGCCGUCUGCGGAUCGGAGGUCGCUCAUGUAAGGCUCCUUCGGCACGCUAUGAGAAAUCAAAGACUUCGGGUUCCGGGGGGAGUAUGUUCGCAAGAAUGAAACUUAAAGGAAUUGACGGAAGGGCACCACCAGGAGUGGAACCUGCGGUUUAAUUUGACUCAACACGGGAAAAACUCACCA